This 114-nucleotide ribosomal RNA is filed under the name Betaproteobacteria bacterium. Lineage: Bacteria; Pseudomonadati; Pseudomonadota; Betaproteobacteria. The record is from RNAcentral.
CUUGGCGGCCAUAGCGCUCUGGACCCACCCCUUCCCAUCCCGAACAGGACCGUGAAACAGAGUUGCGCCGAUGAUAGUGCAUAUCUCAUGUGCGAAAGUAGGUCACCGCCAGGC